Long non-coding RNA from Helianthus annuus (common sunflower), 367 nucleotides. RefSeq lists it as uncharacterized. Lineage: Eukaryota; Viridiplantae; Streptophyta; Magnoliopsida; Asterales; Asteraceae. The transcript has 4 exons. The record is from RefSeq and is a predicted model, not a curated record.
CGGGACAAGAGUCAACGCAUUCCAACGUUGUACAAUCGGUUUAUCAAAGAGGAGAUUCAAAGGAUCAAAGACAACAAUCCAAAUAUCAGCCAUAAGGAAGCUUUUCGCACAGCUGCUAAAAGUUGGGCACAUUUCCCUCAUCUUCAAAAACUAGGGUUGUGGCUAGAGCAUUUUCCUCAUAUUCAAAAGGUUGGGACGAAUUUAGAGAACAACAAGCACCAUCUCAACCUUGAUGAGAAUCAAGCAAGGUUGUGUAAUCCCCAAAAUGAUAAAGCUUGAUUUGGAAUAUCAACAAGGCAAAGCAAUAUAUAUGCAAUGUAUUGAUGAUUGUGUUAGAUACUUUUCUAUGUAUUUUAUGUUCUAUUGA